CGUAACAAGGUCUCCGUAGGUGAACCUGCGGAGGGAUCAUUACAAGAACGCCCGGGCUACGGCCUGGUUAUUCAUAACCCUUUGUUGUCCGACUCUGUUGCCUCCGGGGCGACCCUGCCUUCGGGCGGGGGCUCCGGGUGGACACUUCAAACUCUUGCGUAACUUUGCAGUCUGAGUAAACUUAAUUAAUAAAUUAAAACUUUUAACAACGGAUCUCUUGGUUCUGGCAUCGAUGAAGAACGCAGCGAAAUGCGAUAAGUAAUGUGAAUUGCAGAAUUCAGUGAAUCAUCGAAUCUUUGAACGCACAUUGCGCCCCCUGGUAUUCCGGGGGGCAUGCCUGUUCGAGCGUCAUUUCACCACUCAAGCCUCGCUUGGUAUUGGGCAACGCGGUCCGCCGCGUGCCUCAAAUCGUCCGGCUGGGUCUUCUGUCCCCUAAGCGUUGUGGAAACUAUUCGCUAAAGGGUGUUCGGGAGGCUACGCCGUAAAACAACCCCAUUUCUAAGGUUGACCUCGGAUCAGGUAGGGAUACCCGCUGAACUUAAGCAUAUC
RNAcentral lists this ribosomal RNA (549 nucleotides) under uncultured fungus. RNAcentral describes it as "eukaryotic LSU rRNA". The stretch from base 198 to 351 matches the Rfam family "5.8S ribosomal RNA". The record is from RNAcentral. Lineage: Eukaryota; Fungi.